Molecule: ribosomal RNA, 220 nt
Filed under: Strumigenys crassicornis
Lineage: Eukaryota; Metazoa; Arthropoda; Insecta; Hymenoptera; Formicidae
Description: partial large subunit ribosomal RNA
Source: RNAcentral
GAAUUUAAUAUAAUUAUUUAUAAAAAUAUUUUUAUAGCUGAAAUAAAUGAUUAUUAUUUGAUUGGGAGGAUAAAUAAAUUUAAUUAACUUUAAUAUUGAGUUAAGUUAUAGAUUAAUAAGUAAAAUUUUUUUGAAUGAUUUUAAAAUUAAGUUAGAAUUAAUUACCUUAGGGAUAACAGCGUAAUAUUUUUAUAAAGAUCUUAUUAAUAAAAAUGGUUGC